CGCGCUCUGCGAGGGCUCGUGCUGGGGGAGCGCUCCUGGCUCGGAGCAGAGUAGACUCUGGCCACACAGCCCCUCCUGGGAAGCUUGGGGCCGCACCAACAGGCUUGGUGCCCUCAGCUGGGAAGAACUCCGCUGAAGGGUGGAGGGCUGCGCUGCUGCUGCUGCGGAGAUCUUGGCCGAACAAGGCCGGGACCCCUGGGUGCGGCUGAGGAGCCGUCAGGAGGCGCUCUGCCUGGCCCCAGCCCGGCCUCCAGGGGACUCUCCCUGGGGACCCAGGAGGCCUGGCUCACGUUUCUUAUUUAUAUAGAAGACAUUUCGCUCCUUUUGUACAUUUUUAAUGGGCCAGCAGGGAAGCCUCAAUGCAGCCAAGUCAGUGAGCCCACGUGGGCUGUGAGGACGAGCCUGGGACCUCUGGAGAGGGAGGGGAUUUGAGGCAAAGAUGGACAAGAAUCCGCCGUCAAAGCUUCUAUCUUUCUUUGAAUUACAUACGCUUCCCACAGGGCUGUGGGUGCUGUGCAGGAGCCAGUGGGGACACAGGAGGCAAAUGAAACUUUGAGCAGCCAUCUCGGACCCUGACUACAGGUACUAGCCUUUCUGAGCAUGGUCGUUUAAAAAAAAAGAAGCGGUGUCUCAUUUAAAGGUUGAGCAAACACAUCUGUGGUGACGGAUGGGGAAGUUUCAAAGGUGACUGAUAAGUUUUGGCCCGACUACCUGGAUGAAUUAAACUGUUCAUUGCUAGGUAGAAUAUUCAUGGUAAGAGUUGCAUUAGAGAUGGUGGUGAGAAUCAAGGGGCUUACUUUUUUUGAAACGUUAGUGUUUAGUGCCUGGGUUUACCAGACUGAAUCCCAGGGGAAGAGUUGAAACCUCAUCUCCUUAGAGAUGAUAUGUAUGUCUGAGAAAUCACCAUGAGGCCAUCUAAGAAAUGAGUUUUCUAGAGAAGAUAACAGGACAAAGACUGAAGCCUGGGGCACUUCAACCUUUAGAGCUCAGGAUGCAGAGGAGUCCUAAAUGAGGCUGAGAAGAAACAGUGAAGGAAGGGGAAAAUCAGAAUAGUAUGGUGGUUCCAGAGGCUAAAUUAAGAAGUAUUUUGUAAGGAAGGAAUGAGUGAUCAGCGUUAGCAAAUGCUGCAAAAACAUGAAGAUAGUAAAGACAGUGGCCCGAUGGACCUCACCAACACGCUAAACCCAACAAGGAGGAUUAAGAAGAGAUUAGAUGGUGAAGGAAUGGAGAGAAUGAUCACAGACAAGAACUUUUGAGUUUUGCUAUAAAAAGAAGUAGAGAAAUGGGAUACAUACAGGGGGUAAGGCGAAAGAGGAGAGUGAAGGGCAUAUACAGAGGCUGACACGGGGCACCCUCCUCUGUCACCCUUCACCUACUCAUGAUGAGGGUGGAGGCCAACCCCGCCUGUGAGCUCCUGCUGCAAUCCAGCUCCGCCAAAUGCCUUCUCUGAAAGAUUGUUCCUGAGGCCUGAUUAUUGAAAUCACCACACACCCAACAGCUUAUUGGGUAGGGUGAACAAUUUUUCAGUACUGUAAGGCCAACUACACC
Equus asinus (donkey) is the source of this 1548-nucleotide long non-coding RNA. The record is from Ensembl. Lineage: Eukaryota; Metazoa; Chordata; Mammalia; Perissodactyla; Equidae.